UAUCACGGGGGGCAGCAGUGAGGAAUAUUGGUCAAUGGUCGGGAGACUGAACCAGCCAAGCCGCGUGAGGGAUGAAGGUACAGAGUAUCGUAAACCUCUUUUGUCAGGGAACAAAGGCGGGGACGUGUCCCCGGAUGAGUGUACCUGAAGAAAAAGCAUCGGCUAACUCCGUGCCAGCAGCCGCGGUAAUACGGAGGAUGCGAGCGUUAUCCGGAUUUACUGGGGGUAAAGGGAGCGCAGGCGGAAUGUCAAGUCAGCGGUAAAAUUUCGGGGCUCAACCCCGUCGGGCCGUUGAAACUGGCGUU
Molecule: ribosomal RNA, 305 nt
Filed under: uncultured bacterium
Lineage: Bacteria
Description: bacterial SSU rRNA
Rfam family: Bacterial small subunit ribosomal RNA
Source: RNAcentral